UGGGGAAUCUUGGACAAUGGGCGCAAGCCUGAUCCAGCCAUGCCGCGUGAGUGACGAAGGUCUUCGGAUUGUAAAGCUCUUUUUGGCGGGGACGAUAAUGACGGUACCCGCAGAAUAAGCCCCGGCUAACUUCGUGCCAGCAGCCGCGGUAAUACGAAGGGGGCUAGCGUUGUUCGGAAUUACUGGGCGUAAAGCGCACGUAGGCGGAUCUAUAAGUCAGGGGUGAAAUCCCGGGGCUCAACCUCGGAACUGCCUUUGAUACUGUAGAUCUCGAGUCCGGAAGAGGUGAGUGGAAUUCCUAGUGUAGAGGUGAAAUUCGUAGAUAUUAGGAAGAACACCAGUGGCGAAGGCGGCUCACUGGUCCGGUACUGACGCUGAGGUGCGAAAGCGUGGGGAGCAAACAGGAUUAGAUACCCAAGUAGUCCCUGAGCGGGCUGGCAAGGCGCAU
RNAcentral lists this ribosomal RNA (448 nucleotides) under uncultured bacterium. Its description in RNAcentral is "bacterial SSU rRNA". It matches the Rfam family "Bacterial small subunit ribosomal RNA", at positions 355 to 825 of the family's 1533-position model. The record is from RNAcentral.